RNAcentral lists this ribosomal RNA (497 nucleotides) under uncultured bacterium. RNAcentral describes it as "partial 16S ribosomal RNA". It matches the Rfam family "Bacterial small subunit ribosomal RNA", at positions 28 to 507 of the family's 1533-position model. The record is from RNAcentral.
GACGAACGCUGGCGGCGUGCCUAAUACAUGCAAGUAGAACGCUGAAGAGAGGAGCUUGCUCUUCUUGGAUGAGUUGCGAACGGGUGAGUAACGCGUAGGUAACCUGCCUUGUAGCGGGGGAUAACUAUUGGAAACGAUAGCUAAUACCGCAUAACAAUGGAUGACACAUGUCAUUUAUUUGAACGGGGCAAUUGCUCCACUACAAGAUGGACCUGCGUUGUAUUAGGUAGUAGGUGAGGUAAUGGCUCACCUAGGCGACGGUACAUAGCCGACCUGAGAGGGUGAUCGGCCACCCUGGGAAUGAGACACGGCCCAGACUCCUACGGGAGGCAGCAGGAGGGAAUCUUCGGCAAUGGGGGCAACCCUGACCGAGCAACGCCGCGUGAGUGAAGAAGGGUUUCGGAUCGUAAAGCUCUGUUGUAAGUCAAGAACGGGUGUGAGAGUGGAAAGUUCACACUGUGACGGUAGCUUACCAGAAAGGGACGGCUAACUACGUG